This 541-nucleotide ribosomal RNA is filed under the name Alpheus cf. armillatus 'Bermuda' LM-2006. RNAcentral describes it as "partial 16S ribosomal RNA". It matches the Rfam family "Bacterial large subunit ribosomal RNA", at positions 1824 to 2625 of the family's 2925-position model. Lineage: Eukaryota; Metazoa; Arthropoda; Malacostraca; Decapoda; Alpheidae. The record is from RNAcentral.
GUCUUCACUGGGUGGUGAUGUGAAGUCUGGCCUGCCCACUGAAUACAUUUAAAGGGCCGCGGUAUACUAACCGUGCGAAGGUAGCAUAGUCAAUAGUCUUUUAAUUGGAGGCUUGAAUGAACGGUCGGACAUGGGGAUGGCUGUCUGUGACUUAAGGGUAUGAAUUUAACUUUUGUGUGAAAAGGCAUUAAUAUUUUAAAGGGACGAUAAGACCCUAUAAAACUUGACAUUUAGGCCUGGGCCCUAGAAUUUAGGUAUAAUUGAGGGUGGUGGUAGUUUGUUGUGCUGGGGCGGCUAGAAUAUAAGAUAUAGUAACUGUUCUUUAUAUUGAAUAAUGAUUAUUAGGUGUUGACCCUGAAUUUUAGGUUAAAAGAUUAAGUUACUUUAGGGAUAACAGCGUUAUUUUCCUUGAGAGUUCAUAUCGACAGGGAUAUUUGCGACCUCGAUGUUGAAUUAAAGUUUUCUUCGGGAGUAGAAGUUCGGGGGAUAGGUCUGUUCGACCUUUAAAACUUUACAUGAUUUGAGUUCAAACCGGUGUGAG